GUGGGGAAUCUUGCGCAAUGGGCGAAAGCCUGACGCAGCCAUGCCGCGUGUAUGAUGAAGGUCUUAGGAUUGUAAAAUUCUUUCACCGGGGACGAUAAUGACGGUACCCGGAGAAGAAGCCCCGGCUAACUUCGUGCCAGCAGCCGCGGUAAUACGAAGGGGGCUAGCGUUGCUCGGAAUUACUGGGCGUAAAGGGCGCGUAGGCGGACAGUUUAGUCAGAGGUGAAAGCCCAGGGCUCAACCUUGGAAUUGCCUUUGAUACUGGCUGGCUUGAGUACGGGAGAGGUGAGUGGAACUCCGAGUGUAGAGGUGAAAUUCGUAGAUAUUCGGAAGAACACCAGUGGCGAAGGCGACUCACUGGCCCGUUACUGACGCUGAGGCGCGAAAGCGUGGGGAGCAAACAGGAUUAGAAACCCUAGUAGUCC
RNAcentral lists this ribosomal RNA (425 nucleotides) under uncultured bacterium. Its description in RNAcentral is "partial 16S ribosomal RNA". It matches the Rfam family "Bacterial small subunit ribosomal RNA", at positions 354 to 796 of the family's 1533-position model. The record is from RNAcentral.